AUGGAGACAGACGGGGCCAUUCGUCAGCCGUAUGCCUUGACAGAUUUCUUCGUCUCUGUCCACCUCAAGGGCAGGAUUUCUGUAGGACUCACACUGGUGCCACAGUAUCAUAUCAGUCCAGGACCUGGCAAUAUGCAUGCAAUGGCAAAACCUACUGUCAAUUCCAUACCAAGCUCUUGGCACCAGAGACAUAGUGAAGAUCAGGUCAGACGAGUCAGCCUCAUGGAGCUUGUUCACAGGUAAGUGAAUGGUAGAAAAGGGGAGAAGGAAGAACAAAGAAGCAAGACCUUGCAGAAGUGAUAGGACACAGCUAUUUUUCUGAUAAUUUAGAAUCAUCUAGAAGCUCUGGCAAACACACAAAGACUUCCUCCAACUGUGGGAGGGUGAAUUCCUUUCCUGUAAACCCCUCUCCAGAUUCAUUUGCAAAGCUGAAAAACGACCAGACCAGUCCCAAAAAGAAAAGUAGUCUGCAAUCGGGAGGCCUGGCUUCUCCAGGAGCUUGGCCCAGCCCCAGCGUUGAAAAGCCAUCUUGCCCUACAGAAUGCUCCGUGCCUUCACUUCAGUGCUGCCAGGAGAGUGAACAAGGACAAAACCAGAUUAGGAGUCUUGAUGCCUUGCCUCAUGUGAUUAAGGCCUAAUCAGGUUGGCAUGCCCUCCUCAAUCAGCAGCUUAUCUCAUUAUUACACGCAAAUUGCAAGUUCCAUCUCCCGACAGUGAUGCACUAAUGGGGGACGGGGAGUCCUUGUGGAAGCCACCUGACUUCCAGACUCUUCUCCAGACCUAGGGAGCACCAGAUGUUAACAAAUCAGGAGCAGGGGUUCCGUCACAUAAAGAAAACCUGAAUCUUCCUAAAGUAAAAGAGCAGGUUGGAAAGGGGAAGGGAAGCUGAAGCUGGGGAAGAGGAAGAUGCCUGCCUGAGGGCAGUGGGGCUGGAGAGAUGGUUCUAGAAGAGAAAGAGAAAAAGAGGGACCAGGAAAGAGAAGAAGAACAUGGGUUCUGAAGGACCUUCAGGACAGACAUUCUGAAAGCAUAGACUUUAAGAGCAGACUCCCCGCCUGAAUCCAGGUUCAUAUACACACACACACGCACACACACACACAGGCAUGAAUGCACACACAUGCAUACAAACAUGGAGCCUUCAAUCGUACACACAAACUCAUACAAGUACUCAUCGACAGAUAUACAUAAAUACAUUCACUCACUUAGAACAGAGUUUUGAAAUAAUUAUCUAGAAAAUGAAAACAAAAAUACUUAACUGUAAUUCACCUGAAUUUUUUUUUCUUUUAGAAAAUAAUGAGAGGCCGGUGCUGUGGUGUGGCUGGUAGGGCUGCAGCCUGCAGAGUGCCAGCAUCCCGUAUAGGCACUGGUUUGAGACCUGGCUGCUCCACUUCUGAUCUAGUUCCCUGCUAUGGCCUGGGAAAGCAGUAGAAGAUGGCCAAGUCCUUGGGCCCCUGCACCCACAUGGGAGACCCGGAAGAAGCUCCUGGCUCCUGGCUUUGGAUUGGCCCAGCUCCCCCCCACCUGUAGCCAACUGGGGAGUGAAACGGCGGAUGGAAGACCUCUCUUUCUCUCUCUGCCUCUCCUCUCUGUAUUAAUUCUGACUUUCAAAUAAGUAAAUAAAUCAUUUUAAAAAAAUAAUGAAUUGUUGGGU
Molecule: long non-coding RNA, 1651 nt
Organism: Oryctolagus cuniculus (rabbit)
Lineage: Eukaryota; Metazoa; Chordata; Mammalia; Lagomorpha; Leporidae
Source: Ensembl